AACGUAGGACACAAGCGUUAUCCGGAGUUACUGGGCGUAAAGGGCGUUUAGGCGGGUGAUUAAGUUCGCUAUGAAAGCGCCAGGCUAAACCUGGCGAGGCUGGCGGAUACUGGUCAUCUGGAGUAAGGAAGAGGGAGGUAGAAUUCCGCGUGUAGUGGUGAGAUGCGUAGAGAUGCGGAGGAAUACCAGUGGCGAAGGCGGCCUCCUGGUCCUUAACUGACGCUGAAGCGCGAAAGCAUGGGGAGCGAACGGG
This 253-nucleotide ribosomal RNA is filed under the name uncultured bacterium. RNAcentral's name for it is "partial 16S ribosomal RNA". It matches the Rfam family "Bacterial small subunit ribosomal RNA", at positions 524 to 776 of the family's 1533-position model. The record is from RNAcentral.